This 870-nucleotide ribosomal RNA is filed under the name uncultured bacterium. RNAcentral describes it as "bacterial SSU rRNA". It matches the Rfam family "Bacterial small subunit ribosomal RNA", at positions 9 to 873 of the family's 1533-position model. The record is from RNAcentral.
AGAGUUUGAUCAUGGCUCAGGACGAACGCUGGCGGCGUGCUUAACACAUGCAAGUCGAACGGUGAAGAGGAGCUUGCUUCUUGGAUCAGUGGCGAACGGGUGAGUAACACGUGAGCAAUCUGCCCUUGACUCUGGGAUAACUGCGGGAAACUGUAGCUAAUACCGGAUAUUACCUUGGAAGGCAUCUUCUGGGGCGGAAAGAAUUUUGGUCAAGGAUGAGCUCGCGGCCUAUCAGCUAGUUGGUGAGGUAAUGGCUCACCAAGGCGACGACGGGUAGCCGGCCUGAGAGGGUGACCGGCCACACUGGGACUGAGACACGGCCCAGACUCCUACGGGAGGCAGCAGUGGGGAAUAUUGCACAAUGGGCGCAAGCCUGAUGCAGCAACGCCGCGUGAGGGACGACGGCCUUCGGGUUGUAAACCUCUUUUAGUAGGGAAGAAGUGACUGGGUUUUCCUGGAAGUGACGGUACCUGCAGAAAAAGCACCGGCUAACUACGUGCCAGCAGCCGCGGUAAUACGUAGGGUGCAAGCGUUGUCCGGAAUUAUUGGGCGUAAAGAGCUCGUAGGCGGUUUGUUGCGUCUGCUGUGAAAACCCGAGGCUCAACCUCGGGCCUGCAGUGGGUACGGGCAGACUAGAGUGCGGUAGGGGAGAUUGGAAUUCCUGGUGUAGCGGUGGAAUGCGCAGAUAUCAGGAGGAACACCAAUGGCGAAGGCAGAUCUCUGGGCCGUAACUGACGCUGAGGAGCGAAAGCAUGGGGAGCGAACAGGAUUAGAUACCCUGGUAGUCCAUGCCGUAAACGUUGGGAACUAGAUGUGGGGACCAUUUCCACGGUCUCCGUGUCGCAGCUAAACGCAUUAAGUUCCCCGCCU